Molecule: microRNA precursor, 80 nt
Filed under: Medicago truncatula (barrel medic)
Lineage: Eukaryota; Viridiplantae; Streptophyta; Magnoliopsida; Fabales; Fabaceae
Description: MIR2617 microRNA precursor family
Rfam family: MIR2617 microRNA precursor family
Source: Rfam by way of RNAcentral
AUGAUAGCAUACCCGUUUGGUGAAAUACUCUGAUAAUUAUUUGUUAUUUAAUUACUUUUAGGUAACGGGGUGUUACAUCA